Molecule: ribosomal RNA, 549 nt
Filed under: Saccharomyces cerevisiae (brewer's yeast)
Lineage: Eukaryota; Fungi; Ascomycota; Saccharomycetes; Saccharomycetales; Saccharomycetaceae
Description: LSU rRNA
Rfam family: Eukaryotic large subunit ribosomal RNA
Source: RNAcentral
UACGGAGGAAAAGGAAACCAACCGGGAUUGCCUUAGUAACGGCGAGUGAAGCGGCAAAAGCUCAAAUUUGAAAUCUAGUACCUUCGGUGCUCGAGUUGUAAUUUGUAGAGGGAUACUUUGGGGCCGUUCCUUGUCUAUGUUCCUUGGAACAGGACGUCAUAGAGGGUGAGAAUCCCGUGUGGCGAGGAGUGCGGUUCUAUGUAAAGUGCCUUCGAAGAGUCGAGUUGUUUGGGAAUGCAGCUCUAAGUGGGUGGUAAAUUCCAUCUAAAGCUAAAUAUUGGCGAGAGACCGAUAGCGAACAAGUACAGUGAUGGAAAGAUGAAAAGAACUUUGAAAAGAGAGUGAAAAAGUACGUGAAAUUGUUGAAAGGGAAGGGCAUUUGAUCAGACAUGGUGUUUUGCGCCCUCUGCUCCUUGUGGGUGGGGGACUCUCGCAGCUCACUGGGCCAACAUCAGUUUUGGUGGUCGGACAAAUCCGUAGGAAUGUAGCUUACCUCGGUAAGUGUUAUAGCCUGCGGGAAUACGGCCAGCCGGGACUGAGGACUGCGAC